This is a long non-coding RNA of Cygnus olor (mute swan), 1561 nucleotides long. RefSeq lists it as uncharacterized. NCBI's taxonomy places the organism in Eukaryota, Metazoa, Chordata, Aves, Anseriformes, Anatidae. The transcript has 3 exons. The record is from RefSeq and is a predicted model, not a curated record.
CGAUCUUGUUCGAACUUCUUUGACCUUCUUUGACCUUCUUCGAACUUCUUCUGCCUUCUUUGACCUUCUUUGACAUUAUUGAUUUUCUGUAACCUUCUUUGACCUUCUUUGACCUUCUUUCACCUUCUUUCACAUUCUUUCACCUUCUCUGACCCUCUUUCUGCCUUUUGACCUUCUUUGACCUUCUCUGACCCUCUCUACCGUCUUUUUGCCAUUUGACCCCUUUUGUGCUGAAUUGUUCAAGCUACAGGAGUUACAUACAUUCAAGACAUACAUAGUCAUUAGAUUUCCAAGAGGUAUUCAACAUAUUCACGUUUCCCAUAACUAAUUAAAAUAUGUAAAUGUCCCUGAUGCUUUUGCAAUUGUUUCUAAUGGUGGUCUUCCAGAUGUCUAUGGUUGUUGUUGAUAGUCUUCCUCACUAUGCUCUCUGCUUGAACCCACUUCUUGCAUAUGCUCAGAUCACCAUGUUCUUUCUUAUCAUGUUGUUUCAACUUAGGUAUAAAUACUAAGCUAAGUCAUUUACACAUCCAAGGACAUGGGCAUAAAAUGAGUUCCUAACCUAUUCUUUUCAGACUUAUCCUCCAGGCCUAGGUUUUAUUGCCCCCUGCCCUGGGAUACAAUUCUGUAUGGUCUUACAGCUACAGAAACACUGGUGCCAAGGUGUCUCAGAUGCUUACCAGAGAUAAGAAAAUAGGCUCCAGGAAAGUGGUAUUGCACCUGCCUUUGUCAUUUAUUAACCAGGUAUAUAGGCUGUAUAUUGUAUAUUGCCAACCAGCUGAUUAACAUUGGGAAUGCAAGCAGCAUGAAGGAAUUCAUUCUUCUCAAACUCUCAGAAAAUAAAGGAAUUCAGAAAAUAUGUUUUAUGUGUUUUUUUUUUUCUUCUGUAUGAUUAUCAUGCCAGGAAAUCUGCUCAUUGUUGUCGGUGUAGUGAGCAGUCAACAUCUGAAACUGCACGUGUAUUUCUUCCUUUCCUACCUGUACCUCGUAGAUAUUUGUUACACUUCUGUCACAGCUCCCAAAAUGAUUGCUGACUUCCUCAUUGAAAAUAAAAAACAGCCCAUUUGUGGGUUGCAUAGCACAGAUGUUCAGGGUACAUUUCUAUAGCUGCACUGAGAUCUUCAUCCUCACAGUGAUGGCCUAAGAUUGUUAUACUGACAACUGCAGACCCCCUAAUUAUGACCCUAACCCAACACCUACGUCACCAAAUUGUCCCAUCAAAAAGUGCUCACAACAAAAGACUUUUGGUAGACCUGAACUUCCUUGGACAGUCCUUACACAACCCCCACACACAUAACAGGACUCUGCACUGUCUUUCUAUCCAAACCCUAACAACCCUAACCCUAAGCCUAAUUAUGACUCUAAUGCAACACCUACGUCACCAAAUUCUCCCGAAACUAACAACAACCCUAACCCUAACCCUAUUUAUGACUCUCUAUAUAUCCAAGUAAAGGCAUAUAUUUGGAAGAAACCUGUGAAUUUAGGGUAUCUGAUAGAUAGAACUCUGUAAGCAGGCAGCUGUUAAUAUUCUCUGCUACUCAGUUUUUGUUCUUCUGGUAGUAAA